Molecule: transfer RNA, 67 nt
Filed under: Asiadodis yunnanensis
Lineage: Eukaryota; Metazoa; Arthropoda; Insecta; Mantodea; Mantidae
Description: tRNA-Leu
Rfam family: tRNA
About the family: Transfer RNA (tRNA) molecules are approximately 80 nucleotides in length. Their secondary structure includes four short double-helical elements and three loops (D, anti-codon, and T loops).
Source: RNAcentral
ACUAUUUUGGCAGAAUUAAGUGCAAUAGAUUUAGAAUCUUUAAAUAUGAUAAUAAUCAUAGAUAGUA